This 467-nucleotide ribosomal RNA is filed under the name uncultured bacterium. RNAcentral describes it as "partial 16S ribosomal RNA". It matches the Rfam family "Bacterial small subunit ribosomal RNA", at positions 28 to 506 of the family's 1533-position model. The record is from RNAcentral.
GACGAACGCUGGCGGCGUGCUUAACACAUGCAAGUCGAACGGAAAGGCCCUGCUUUUGUGGGGUGCUCGAGUGGCGAACGGGUGAGUAACACGUGAGUAACCUGCCCUUGACUUUGGGAUAACUUCAGGAAACUGGGGCUAAUACCGGAUAGGAGCUCCUGCUGCAUGGUGGGGGUUGGAAAGUUUCGGCGGGUGGGGAUGGACUCGCGGCUUAUCAGCUUGUUGGUGGGGUAGUGGCUUACCAAGGCUUUGACGGGUAGCCGGCCUGAGAGGGUGACCGGCCACAUUGGGACUGAGAUACGGCCCAGACUCCUACGGGAGGCAGGAGUGGGGAAUAUUGCACAAUGGGCGGAAGCCUGAUGCAGCAACGCCGCGUGCGGGAUGACGGCCUUCGGGUUGUAAACCGCUUUCGCCUGUGACGAAGCGUGAGUGACGGUAAUGGGGAAAGAAGCACCGGCUAACUACGU